CGCCCAACAGCUAGCCCACCUAAACAAUUUCAACAAACCCUUGUCAAUAACCCCUAAAUACCCCAGUAUUUAAAUUAAACAAACCAUUUUUCCCCCUUAGURUAGGCGAUAGAAAAGGGACUACGGCGCAAUAGAGAAAGUACCGCAAGGGAACGCUGAAAGAGAAAUGAAAUAACCCAGUAAAGCCCAAAAAAGCAGAGAUUCAACCUCGUACCUUUUGCAUCAUGAUUUAGCGAGUGUACCCCAAGCAAAGAGCACUUUAGUUUGACGUCCCGAAACUACGUGAGCUACUCCAAGACAGCCUAUUAAUAGGGCGUACCCGUCUCUGUUGCAAAAGAGUGGGGAGAGCUUUGAGUAGAGGUGACAAACCUACCGAACCUAGUUAUAGCUGGUUGUCCAAGAAAUGAAUAGAAGUUCAGCCUCUUGGCUUCUCUUUUCACCCUAGUUUAACCCCUAUUGAUGCAUUAAAGAAACCGAGAGAGUUAGUCAAAGGGGGUACAGCCCCUUUGAAUCAAGACACAACUUUAUCAGGAGGGUAAAGAUCAUA
RNAcentral lists this ribosomal RNA (547 nucleotides) under Microcottus sellaris. Its description in RNAcentral is "partial 16S large subunit ribosomal RNA". It matches the Rfam family "Bacterial large subunit ribosomal RNA", at positions 156 to 1051 of the family's 2925-position model. Lineage: Eukaryota; Metazoa; Chordata; Actinopteri; Perciformes; Cottidae. The record is from RNAcentral.